GGAGUUGUGGCUCACUGGUAGAACUCUCACCUGGCAUGUGCGAGGCCCUGGGUUCGAUCCUCAGCACCA
Molecule: transfer RNA, 69 nt
Filed under: Marmota monax (woodchuck)
Lineage: Eukaryota; Metazoa; Chordata; Mammalia; Rodentia; Sciuridae
Description: tRNA.Ala
Source: RNAcentral